AGUUUGUAACAGUUGAUCUUUGGUACAUUCUCUGUGGCAUAAAUUUUGCAUAUUUUGUCAUAUUUAAAUUUUAUAUGAGCUCAAAAGGAGAUAAAAGUUGGCCUGAUUUUUUCAGAUGACAGGUCUGAAACUCAGAGAAUUACGAAGUUAAUUCGUGCCAUAACUUGAACAGUUUUCUGGAUGCAAGCACAUGUGAUUUCUACUACAACCACAGCUGCUGGGAAGGGAAGAAAGACAUUUGUUGAGUGCCGACAAUGUGUCAGAGGCCCAGAGAAAACCAUUGUUCCAGCAGUACUUCAUAGGCCAAGGCAGAAGACAGAGAGAAGGGACACCCACAAGUCCAGUCAGGGAUUACAAUGACAUCCAUGGACCACCUCAAUCUAAGCCAAUUAGAGAUAAUUCGGUGGUGGCAGCUGAGUUUUGAAUAUAAAACAUUACAACAUUAACUAGAGGAGACUAUGGCCCUGGAGUCUGAAAAUGUGUGGGAAAGGUGAGUUAUUUAUUUAUUUUAUUUAUAUCGAGUUUUGGAUGCUAGUUUAGUACCUUGUGUGGAUGGGUCUGGGAGAGGCAUUAUUGUGGUUAUGCUGAUCAUUAUAGCUCCAGAUCAUCAAAACAGCCAACUCGUUUUAAAUCUAGAACUGCAAGCUGGGCACAGGAUUACACCUGUAAUCCCACUUACUUGGGAUGUUGAGGUAGAAGGAUGGCUUGAGGCCAGGAGUCCAAGUCCAGCCUGGGCAACAUACUAAGACCCCAUCUCUCAAAAGAAUUCCAGAAAUACACAGCCAAGCAUUCUGGGGACUAUUGCAAGAUUCAGGUACCACUAUCAAGAAGAGUUGACUGCUGAUGUGGAAAUCCAGCAGGUUAAGUAUAGGAAAUCCAGCAGGUAAAUGUAUCUCCAGAGGAGAUAGUGGUCACAGCCUUGAUGACAGUAGGCACUGAUGUCCGAGGAGGAGGAAAGUAGGACAUAGGAAGACUGGGGCAACAAAUGGUUCUCUUAAGAACAGCAUAGGUGAAGUACAAGGGACAGGAUUCUUCCCAGCUGCCAUACUGAAAGAACUAGAAAGAACCCCACAAAAUUUCAGGUCUUCCAUCAAGCCAGGUUAGGUUUUGCACAGUUUUCAGGUUUAGUGAGGGGCUAUCAGGCCAGAUGGGAAAAUAGAGUCAUUCAAGAAAGAUUCAGUGUUGUGGUCAAUAUGGGAAAAUGGUGACUUGUAAGGACAUUGCCAGGAUUAGCCCUGUUUCAGGGAACCAGAUUUACUAGGACCCACAGGUGGUGGGAAUAGGCAUUGCUAUGUGCUCCCUGUUGUGAUAAGGCUAUUCUAGAAAUUCAGGAAGGUUGAAAAGGAAAGUGGCAGGGAUCAAACUGAUCGUUGCUCUGCAAACAUAAAAGGAGUUCUUUGGGCUGGGCACGGUGGCUCACGCCUGUAAUCUCAGCACUUUGGGAGGCCAAGGUGGGUAGAUCACAAAGUCAGGAGUUCAAGACCAGCCUGGCCAAGAUGGUUAAACCCCAUCUCCACUAAAAAUACAAAAAAAAAAAAAAAUUAGCCAGGCAUGGUGGUGGGGGACUGAAAUCCCAGCUACUUGGGAGGCUGAGGCAGAGAAUUGCUUGAACCCGGGAGGCGGAGGUUGCAGUGAGCUGAGAUCAUGCCACUGCACUCCAGCCUGGGUGACAGAGCGAGACUCUGUCUCAAAAAAAAAAAAAAAAAAAAAAAAGGAGUUCUUUGUUUCUGCAUCAGAAGCCACAAAAUACUUAUUUCCAUAUUUCUUCACUUGUAGACCACCUAUACUUUAACAUUUUAACAUCUUUGAAAUCAGGGCCCAUCUUAGUGAUGUCUCACAGUUUAAUUGACAGUAAUUUUUCUUGCUUAGUAACACCAUAUAAUGGUACUUCUUGCAAUAAAAUAUGUCUAACAGUUGAUCAAGUGUCAGACAUCUGCUAUGACGUAAAUAAUCAAACCAAACCAACUAAAACCAAACAAAAACAAGUUGAAUGAGAUAUCUGCAUCCAGUGAAAAAGAAUCCAAAAUUUCUUAUGACAGAGGGACCGAAAGAAGGACUCUAGGAAACCCUGAGAUGAAGAUAAAACAUUUUUUUUAAAAAAAGGAUUUUGCUGAGAGACUAAUACAUUAUUUGAUUAAAAUGAAUUCUUACAAAUUGUUUAUCAAUUUAUAAUGUAUACCUAUAAGAUCAGCAGCAGUAAAGAGCACGUUUUAUUUUAAUUUCAAUUAAUAGAGCAAAGAAAGGAUGCAAAUUGGAGCAUGAGAUUAGACUACAGGCCUAGAGUGCAGGAUGUUUGUGGGAGAAGUUUCUCACUCCAUUAAAUUAUAAAGAUGGAAGAAUACUCAAGAGACCCCAUAAGAUGGAAUCUGUUUGAACAUAACGCUGGGAGAUUUCAAUCAUAAACGGGAAUCUCACAAUGAAAACUUUUCUUUUUAAAAAUCCAGCUUAGAUUGCAUUUUCCACUUUACAAAAUGUGUAUUGUUGAAAAGUCCUAUUCUACGUUGAUAAAAUGUUUUUAAGAAUGUGAGAUUUAAUAAGCCCUGGGCAAACCACUUUUAUGAAAUGAGCAAAUAUUCUCCAUUUAUCUAGCCUAUAAAUUUGAAUUGUCAGGUUAAUAUACACCUACACUUAAUAUAGUAAUGAUCAUGAUGAUAUAAAACCACCAAUUAGCUCUAGCUCUGUGAUCAGUCUUGUACAUAACAUAGUCAAAGAUAAAACACUCUUGGCCUUAAGGAGCUUGCAUUAUAAGUCAGAGAUAAAAUAUAAAGAGAGUUUGUAUUCACAGGAGACCAGAUCUGGAAAGGCCUAGAGAUGGGAGUGAAAAUGCCUUCUGAGUUGGCAUGAGAGGAAGGCCAUAGUAUUAUUUAGUGAUAUUUUCCUUUUGUGUCAUGAAAACAGACUGUCAUUUAGCCUUCCCAACUAAGAUCUCAGGUUUUGCGUGAUCUUCCUAGGAACACUGUGAUCUUUUCAACUGGCCUCUUGGCAAAUCAUCCUGGGCAGCAAGAUGGCUUCCCUCUCUGGGAUUUGAUGGCUACCUACAGAAUCUCUGGUGUCCUUAGGUAAUGGCCUCACGUGUCCAGUAGUUGUGUGCUGUCCUGGGGGUGAUUCUAGGAUCACUUUAAUCUCCAUGGAACUACAGAAAAACUAGAGUGGUAAACUGACCUCUACCUUUAAAAUUAAAAAAAAAAAAAAAAAGCAGAAGGCACAGGCUUGAUCUAGGGUAAACUGGGAACUUCAUUCCAACAGCAGAAAUGUUUCACCAGGAAGUGCUUCAUCGGUCUACAGAGAACAGAACUGUUAGCUUUCUACCACUCGACAAGGGUCCACUUCCUGGAAACACAAGCAACCUGAUGUCUGCGGGUGGUGGAGGAGCAGAAAACAGUGAAUAGACAAAGGAAAACAGCAACAUACUUAAGGGUCUCUGUCACCUGGGGCAGCUGGUAGAUCCAACAGAAGGAGAAUGAAUUGAAGAGUCAGAUACUUUUGACCAAGAAAACCGGAAAUGAGACAUCUCAAGUGGAUAGACUUAGAUCACAUGCAAAAACAAAAACAAAACCUCCUGGAAAGGUAAGAAGAAAUUUAAAAAUUUGAAAGUGUAAUAGAGGAACUGGUACAAUAUCAUUGUCAAGUUGGUGGCCUACAAGAGAAAGUUAAAUAAAUCCUCACAACACAAAGCCAAAACAUAGAGACAAAAGAGAUGGAAAUCUUUGGGGGAAAGAGAAGCAGUGUGAAGGAGAACCAUGAAGAGUAAGAGGAGAAAGAGGAGUGUGAGAAAAAGAAAGUGAACGCAGCAUCUGGGGAAUCAUUUGCUGGGUAGUUUUUCAGGUUCUUUUUGCUUUAGUAAGGCUUUUUUGGUUGUUGUUGUUUGUUUUGUUUUGCUUUAGAAUGGGUAAUAUAGGUGUGUCAUGAACCAAGGUUAUAAUUAAGCCACUUAUCUGCAGUUCAAGUCCCAGACCCCCCAAAGUUUUAAGUAAGGAUUGGAAUAGGUUAUAUUAGUAAAUGUAAAUAAAGAGACUCAUGCAGUGGCAGAAAAUUAAAAGUCCGGUGGCAGAAUGUAUGCCCGAAACAUCAAGCAGGACCAAGAAACUCAUCACAUAUAAUAAUCACUACCACUCACCAUGACCACAAAGUCACUAAAUGGCACAAAUUUUAUGUAUCAAACAACAUAAAGCAAAAUAGAUGUGGAAAAUCAUCUUGAGAUUGAUGGAGAAUUUAACUCUAAAAUGAUAUACUGGAUAAAUAAAAUGUGGGACAUCUAUACC
Long non-coding RNA from Pan troglodytes (chimpanzee), 4262 nucleotides. NCBI's taxonomy places the organism in Eukaryota, Metazoa, Chordata, Mammalia, Primates, Hominidae. The record is from Ensembl.